Molecule: ribosomal RNA, 406 nt
Filed under: uncultured bacterium
Lineage: Bacteria
Description: partial 16S ribosomal RNA
Rfam family: Bacterial small subunit ribosomal RNA
Source: RNAcentral
GACGAACGCUGGCGGCGUGCCUAAUACAUGCAAGUCGAACGCAGUGGGGACGGGUUAGUAACACGUGGGUAACCUCCCAUAAGAGGGGAUAACACUUGGAAACAGGUGCUAAACCGAUACUGAUGGAUGGACCCGCGGUGCAUUAGCUGGUUGGUGAGGUAACGGCGCACCAAGGCCACGAUGCAUAGCCGACGUGAGAGGGGGAUCGGCCACGAUGGGACUGAGAGACGGCCCAGACGACUACGGGGGGCGGCAGUAGGGAAGAUUCGGCAAUGGACGGAAGUAUGACCGAGCAACGCCGCGUGGGUGAAGAAGGUUGUCGGAUCGUAAAAAUCUGUUGUUAGAGAAGCGGUAUCUAACCAGAAAGCAACGGCUAACUACGUGGCAGCCGCCGCGGUAAUAAUUC